GCAUUAGUAGUUUAGUGGUAAAAUAGGCGCUUGCCAUUCGUUUCACAAUGUGAAACUGGGUGCGCCUGCCGAGGGUUCGAUUCCCUCCUAAUGCA
Molecule: transfer RNA, 95 nt
Filed under: Tilletia walkeri
Lineage: Eukaryota; Fungi; Basidiomycota; Exobasidiomycetes; Tilletiales; Tilletiaceae
Rfam family: tRNA
About the family: Transfer RNA (tRNA) molecules are approximately 80 nucleotides in length.
Source: Rfam by way of RNAcentral